Molecule: non-coding RNA, 914 nt
Organism: Macaca mulatta (Rhesus monkey)
Lineage: Eukaryota; Metazoa; Chordata; Mammalia; Primates; Cercopithecidae
Source: RefSeq, a predicted model, not a curated record
GAACCGCCGAACCGUGCCACAUUUCCGUUCCUUCUGGCCUCGCCCUCAGGGGUCGACCGGCGGCAGAGCGCGGCGCCUCCUGUGCUGAAGAAAGCUCCCUGGCCUCCAGAAACUCAGUCAGUGGUGGGAGGGCCGGAACAGACCCGCGCAGUUAACCAGAUGAUGAUGUUGCUGUAGUAUAGCUUGGAGAGUGCAGAGAAGGAAGCAAGCAAUGCCAGCAAGGAGGAAUCCAGAAGGCUUCCAGGAGAAGUCACCAUUUGUGAUUUGGGCUUGCAUCAGGAGGAGGAAGUUGACAGCCAGGCCCUGCCCUCAGCCUCUGGCACCCCACGUCUCCAAGGCCUGAGCUCCUAUCCCUGGCCUACUGGCUGAGCAGGACGAGAGCCGGAUGAAGACAGGAUGAGCCGUCACCAGGGAUCCUCACCUCGGGGAACUGAGGCCUUAGAUGUGGCUGGGACUGGAGUCAACACUAGAAAGACUGGCAAGAGAAGGGGUCUGCAUUCUGGGACCCCAAACCAAGAUACCAAGAUGAGUCUUCAACAAACUGAUAAUCAGGUUGAGAGGUGAAAUCCACAGAGGGACAUGGGAAUGCUGGGAUUAAUGUCCCCAGUACUACUCUCAACCAAGAAGCACAGGAGUUAGUGGGUAAACAACCUGCUCCUCACCUUGGCUCUCCCGCCCCUUGGUGGGACAACCUGAAGCUGCAGGGCACAGCCCCUGAGAAUGUCGCCAGAAGGCUAGAGCCCCUGUGCCAACCAGACUUGUGCUUCCCAGGAUCUUCUCCCAAAUAAACCACUAUUCCCGAGUCCUGGCCUCAGGGUCUGCUUUAGAGGAACGCAAAUGAACCCAGGGUCCCAAGCUUUGCUACUACCGGCUAUGUGACCAUGAACAAAUGAAAUAACAUGUCUGAGCCUCAA